RNAcentral lists this microRNA precursor (121 nucleotides) under Marmota monax (woodchuck). The record is from RNAcentral. Lineage: Eukaryota; Metazoa; Chordata; Mammalia; Rodentia; Sciuridae.
AAGGGUGAUCAGCUAGCAUGGUUUGCUUGAUAUUGAAGGAUUUUUCCAAGAUAAAAGAUUUUUAGUACUAAACACAGGACAGUCCCUGACAAACCAGGGUGGUUGGUCACCUAGUUUACCC